This 492-nucleotide ribosomal RNA is filed under the name uncultured bacterium. RNAcentral describes it as "partial 16S ribosomal RNA". It matches the Rfam family "Bacterial small subunit ribosomal RNA", at positions 29 to 507 of the family's 1533-position model. The record is from RNAcentral.
AGUGAACGCUGGCGGUAGGCCUAACACAUGCAAGUCGAACGGCAGCACAGUAAGAGCUUGCUCUUACGGGUGGCGAGUGGCGGACGGGUGAGGAAUACAUCGGAAUCUACUUUUUCGUGGGGGAUAACGUAGGGAAACUUACGCUAAUACCGCAUACGACCUACGGGUGAAAGCAGGGGAUCUUCGGACCUUGCGCGAUUGAAUGAGCCGAUGUCGGAUUAGCUAGUUGGCGGGGUAAAGGCCCACCAAGGCGACGAUCCGUAGCUGGUCUGAGAGGAUGGUCAGCCACACUGGAACUGAGACACGGUCCAGACUCCUACGGGAGGCAGCAGUGGGGAAUAUUGGACAAUGGGCGCAAGCCUGAUCCAGCCAUACCGCGUGGGUGAAGAAGGCCUUCGGGUUGUAAAGCCCUUUUGUUGGGAAAGAAAAGCAGCAGGUUAAUACCCCGCUGUUCUGACGGUAACCAAAGAAUAAGCACCGGCUAACUUCGUG